Molecule: ribosomal RNA, 866 nt
Filed under: uncultured bacterium
Lineage: Bacteria
Description: bacterial SSU rRNA
Rfam family: Bacterial small subunit ribosomal RNA
Source: RNAcentral
CCCUUAGAGUUUGAUCCUGGCUCAGGAUGAACGCUGGCGGCGUGCCUAACACAUGCAAGUCGAGCGAUUCUCUUCGGAGAAGAGCGGCGGACGGGUGAGUAACGCGUGGGUAACCUGCCCUGUACACACGGAUAACAUACCGAAAGGUAUGCUAAUACGAGAUAAUAUGCUUUUAUCGCAUGGUAGAAGUAUCAAAACUUUUGCGGUACAGGAUGGACCCGCGUCUGAUUAGCUAGUUGGUAAGGUAACGGCUUACCAAGGCGACGAUCAGUAGCCGACCUGAGAGGGUGAUCGGCCACAUUGGAACUGAGACACGGUCCAAACUCCUACGGGAGGCAGCAGUGGGGAAUAUUGCACAAUGGGCGAAAGCCUGAUGCAGCAACGCCGCGUGAGCGAUGAAGGCCUUCGGGUCGUAAAGCUCUGUCCUCAAGGAAGAUAAUGACGGUACUUGAGGAGGAAGCCCCGGCUAACUACGUGCCAGCAGCCGCGGUAAUACGUAGGGGGCUAGCGUUAUCCGGAAUUACUGGGCGUAAAGGGUGCGUAGGUGGUUUCUUAAGUCAGAGGUGAAAGGCUACGGCUCAACCGUAGUAAGCCUUUGAAACUGGGAAACUUGAGUGCAGGAGAGGAGAGUGGAAUUCCUAGUGUAGCGGUGAAAUGCGUAGAUAUUAGGAGGAACACCAGUUGCGAAGGCGGCUCUCUGGACUGUAACUGACACUGAGGCACGAAAGCGUGGGGAGCAAACAGGAUUAGAUACCCUGGUAGUCCACGCCGUAAACGAUGAGUACUAGCUGUCGGAGGUUACCCCCUUCGGUGGCGCAGCUAACGCAUUAAGUACUCCGCCUGGGAAGUACGCUCGCAAGAGUGAA